UGCUGAGUGGGGUUCCUGGCACGGUGAUUUGUAAUGUGCAGAGACAAAAAUCACAUUGCCAGGGAUUACCGCUCAGUG
Molecule: microRNA precursor, 78 nt
Organism: Petromyzon marinus (sea lamprey)
Lineage: Eukaryota; Metazoa; Chordata; Hyperoartia; Petromyzontiformes; Petromyzontidae
Gene: pma-mir-23a
Product: pma-mir-23a
Source: Ensembl